Molecule: ribosomal RNA, 403 nt
Filed under: uncultured bacterium
Lineage: Bacteria
Description: bacterial SSU rRNA
Rfam family: Bacterial small subunit ribosomal RNA
Source: RNAcentral
AUUGAACGCUGGCGGCGUGCUUAACACAUGCAAGUCGUGCGGUAACAGGCGUAGCAAUACGUGCUGACGAGCGGCGAACGGGUGCGUAAUACAUGGGAAUCUGCCCUUUAGUGGGGAAUAACCCGGCGAAAGCCGGGCUAAUGCCGCAUAAGAUCUUCGGAUGAAAGCGGGGGAUCGUAAGACCUCGCGCUGAUGGAUGAGCCCAUGUCGGAUUAGCUAGUUGGUGAGGUAACGGCUCACCAAGGCGACGAUCCGUAGCUGGUCUGAGAGGACGGCCAGCCACACUGGGACUGAGACACGGCCCAGACUCCUACGGGAGGCAGCAGUGGGGAAUAUUGGACAAUGGGCGAAAGCCUGAUCCAGCGACGCCGCGUGUGUGAAGAAGGCCUGCGGGUUGUAAAGC